This 367-nucleotide transfer-messenger RNA is filed under the name Dermatophilaceae. RNAcentral describes it as "Phycicoccus sp001428065 Standard tmRNA". It matches the Rfam family "transfer-messenger RNA". From Rfam's summary of the family: Bacterial tmRNA, also known as 10Sa RNA or SsrA, is named for its dual tRNA and mRNA-like properties. Its role is to liberate the mRNA from a stalled ribosome. To accomplish this part of the tmRNA is used as a reading frame that ends in a translation stop signal. The record is from RNAcentral. Lineage: Bacteria; Bacillati; Actinomycetota; Actinomycetes; Micrococcales.
GGGGGUGAUCGGUUUCGACAUUGGCCGGUGGGCCAUGGGGAAGCGGGUCGAGGACGCACGGUUAUCUCGUAAACGAUCCGUGCAAACCAAUAGGUGCCAAUUCCAAGCGCACCGACUUCGCCCUCGCCGCCUGAGCGAGCCCGAAGUCCGUUGGCCUGAGUUCGAUCCUGACUCAGUAACCAGCGUCAUCUAGGGAUCUUGCUGCGUCGUCUCGUCGGGGGGCGGCGCGGGACUCUCACCCGGCUGGGCCUGUCAGCGGACGUGUGCGUGCGAGCGCUGGGGCCGAGAAAAUCCGUAGCGCACUGCACCCGGAGAAGCCCUGGUGUUCCGUCAGUGGACGCGGGUUCGAUUCCCGCCACCUCCACCA